UAACGCGUGGGAAUCUGCCCUGGAGUGUGGGAUAACCCGGCGAAAGCCGGGCUAAUACCGCAUACGACCUGAGGGUGAAAGAUUUAUCGCUCUAGGAGGGGCCCGCGUCGGAUUAGCUAGUUGGUGAGGUAACGGCUCACCAAGGCGAUGAUCCGUAGCUGGUCUGAGAGGAUGAUCAGCCACACUGGGACUGAGACACGGCCCAGACUCCUACGGGAGGCAGCAGUGGGGAAUAUUGGACAAUGGGGGCAACCCUGAUCCAGCAAUGCCGCGUGGGUGAUGAAGGCCUUAGGGUUGU
RNAcentral lists this ribosomal RNA (298 nucleotides) under uncultured Sphingomonadaceae bacterium. Its description in RNAcentral is "partial 16S ribosomal RNA". It matches the Rfam family "Bacterial small subunit ribosomal RNA", at positions 111 to 426 of the family's 1533-position model. Lineage: Bacteria; Pseudomonadati; Pseudomonadota; Alphaproteobacteria; Sphingomonadales; Sphingomonadaceae. The record is from RNAcentral.